Molecule: transfer RNA, 57 nt
Filed under: Actinobacillus minor NM305
Lineage: Bacteria; Pseudomonadati; Pseudomonadota; Gammaproteobacteria; Pasteurellales; Pasteurellaceae
Description: tRNA-Val
Rfam family: tRNA
About the family: Transfer RNA (tRNA) molecules are approximately 80 nucleotides in length. Their secondary structure includes four short double-helical elements and three loops (D, anti-codon, and T loops).
Source: RNAcentral
UAGCUCAGUUGGGAGAGCACCUCCCUUACAAGGAGGGGGUCACUGGUUCGAGACCGG